ACGCUCGACACCUACGAGGCAGCAGUGAGGAAUAUUGGUCAAUGGGCGCUAGCCUGAACCAGCCAAGUAGCGUGAAGGAUGAAGGCUCUAUGGGUCGUAAACUUCUUUUAUAUAAGAAUAAAGUGCAGUAUGUAUACUGUUUUGUAUGUAUUAUAUGAAUAAGGAUCGGCUAACUCCGUUCCAGCAGCCGCGGUAAUCUGAGCGGGCUGGCAAGGC
RNAcentral lists this ribosomal RNA (216 nucleotides) under uncultured bacterium. RNAcentral's name for it is "partial 16S ribosomal RNA". It matches the Rfam family "Bacterial small subunit ribosomal RNA", at positions 326 to 539 of the family's 1533-position model. The record is from RNAcentral.